AAGAAGCUUCGACCAGGGUUCGAUUCGAGCGUAGCGAGAAAGCGUUGCCGCAGGCAACGACCCGAAGGGCGAAGCGCGAAGCGCUGAGUAAUCCUUCCCCCACCACCA
Molecule: small RNA, 108 nt
Filed under: Enterobacter hormaechei subsp. xiangfangensis
Lineage: Bacteria; Pseudomonadati; Pseudomonadota; Gammaproteobacteria; Enterobacterales; Enterobacteriaceae
Description: partial RtT sRNA
Rfam family: RtT RNA
About the family: This family represents a bacterial cis-regulatory element known as RtT RNA.
Source: RNAcentral